Canis lupus familiaris (dog) is the source of this 1200-nucleotide long non-coding RNA. RefSeq lists it as uncharacterized. The record is from RefSeq and is a predicted model, not a curated record. The transcript is spliced from 3 exons. NCBI's taxonomy places the organism in Eukaryota, Metazoa, Chordata, Mammalia, Carnivora, Canidae.
CAUACAUAUUAGUAUGAAAUAAAACAACAGAAGCAUAAGAUGAAUAGCAUUACCUAACAAAUCUACAUAGCAUGUCUGAUAAAAUCAUGUGAUUGGGUAGAGAGAGAAAGAUGUCCAAAAGAUAAUGAGAAAAAAGCCAGCAAGGGAAGGUUUCCACGAAUCUCUGAAGUUUCCUUAGGCAAUUUGUUACAAUGCAUACGUGCCACAUGGAACAGUCAUUCCAGGUAAAAUGGCAUGGCUGUUGCUGGAGCUUGCUCCAACUUUGGCAGUCACGAACUUCUCUAGAAUGAAAAAACUGCUCUAACUAAGCUGCGCUUCUUAGGCCUAACUUCUACUCUGUGAUCCUUAGAAGAGAAGUGAGUCUCAGUAACCAUGCCUCAGAUAGCACUGCUCAUUUUCCAGACUUGGUGAUGGAUAGUGAGGACAUAAUGAUGAAUCACCUACCCAGCGCCAGGCUGUCGUUACGAGGUAUGUACAGUAUGAGACUCGGCCACAGUGCCACAUGCGGAAGCCGUCUAGACAGGCGGGGGGCAAGUUUCCGUGGAAAGACAGAUGCAGCGGUGGAGUGUGCCUCGCCCCCUACAAGGGCUCCACCAGUGAUGCAGAGAAACCCAUGGAUUCAAGCUCCUAAAUAUUUUUCAAGCUUCAUCAAUCACUUUGACAGCCAUUGGGAUAGAUCAGAGACCCAUAAAAGGCUGCAUUUUGGAUGAAAAAAGCAAUGCAGUGGAAAAGUGUUACAAAUGAAAGCUCUUCAUCAUCCUAUAUACAACCUACCUGGAUUUUCGUGUAUUCACAGAAAAAGAAAAAAGGGAUAAAUUUAAUUAGUGCAAUGACAGUAAGGACUGAAAAGGUCCAACAUAUAAAAAUCUUGGAAGUCAGCACUCUGCCCAAAACAAGAAAGAGCUGGGCAAACCAAACAUCAAUGACUUUUUUUGGUUCAUCAGAGAACUGAGGUCAUGGGGCAAACCAUCACUUCCAAAUCUGGGGAUAUAAGCACAUUCAGAGAUUUGCAGCAACUGAGAUCACCUGGAACAGGAGCCCUUGGAGUGGGAAUAGGAAGUAACAAAUGGUAAUUUAAAGACUGGUUGGAGGCUUUGCAUGUUAAUAAUAGCAAGUGAGUGAGAAAGUCCUGGGAAGCCAAAGUCUAGCACAGCCAUAAAAAAGUUGUGGAUCUUUCUCUCCAAGGAAACCUGCAAGGUU